RNAcentral lists this ribosomal RNA (460 nucleotides) under uncultured bacterium. RNAcentral describes it as "partial 16S ribosomal RNA". It matches the Rfam family "Bacterial small subunit ribosomal RNA", at positions 338 to 795 of the family's 1533-position model. The record is from RNAcentral.
CCUACGGGAGGCAGCAGUGAGGAAUAUUGGUCAAUGGCCGGAAGGCUGAACCAGCCAUGCCGCGUGAAGGUCAGUGCCCUAUGGGCGUUAAACUUCUUUUGUGCGGGAGCAAUAGUGGUCACGUGUGGCCAGACGAGAGUACCGUACGAAUAAGCAUCGGCUAACUCCGUGCCCGCAGUCGCGGUAAUACGGGGGAUGCAAGCGUUAUCCGGAUUUAUUGGGUUUAAAGGGUUCGUCGGCUGUGAGGUAAGUCAGCGGUGAAAUGCCCCCGCUCAACGGGGUGAAGCGCCAUUGAUACUGCCUGGCUGGAAUGCGGAUGCCGUGGGAGGAAUGUGUGGUGUAGCGGUGAAAUGCAUAGAUAUCACACAGAACACCGAUUGCGAAGGCAUCUCACGAAUCCGCGAUUGACGCUGAUGCACGAAAGCGUGGGUAUCAAACAGGAUUAGAUACCCCAGUAGUC